Gossypium arboreum is the source of this 2208-nucleotide long non-coding RNA. RefSeq lists it as uncharacterized. The transcript has 5 exons. The record is from RefSeq and is a predicted model, not a curated record. Lineage: Eukaryota; Viridiplantae; Streptophyta; Magnoliopsida; Malvales; Malvaceae.
CAGUACGUUUGGUUGGAGGGAAUGGCUAUUCCAUUCCCUCCUUAUUCUGUGAUGACUGGUAAUGCUUUUGUUUGGUUCACCGUUUCUUCAUUCGGCCGUAUUACUUAAAGCGUUUCUAUUCCCUCAAACGCCUAAUAGGGAUUCAGCGUUGAAAGCUUGGAAUGGCUAUUCAGACCAUCGCUGAAUAGAAAUAAAGAAAAUUCUUCCCAAAAUCUCCUUCAGACUUUCUCUGCAAAUGCGUUCAAAAUUGCUUCUUUUAUUACAACAAUACACUUUCAGUAUUUCAGAUUUGGAGAUAUGGUGCAACAGACGAAACUUUAUUAAGAAAUAUACAUUAUAGUGCUUUGGAGCAGACACAAAUUGAAGUCCAGACACUAGAGGGUCAAAUGGAACCAGAAGUUCUGCUAGCAGGCAGUAUAGAUGGCUCCUUCAGGAUAUUUUUCUCCGGCAUGAAUCAGUGCAGUGCUUUGUUGGCAUCAUUAAGUCAAUGGGAGCUUGGAUGGAUCAAGAGCUGAAGAUAGGUGAUUCUGACUUGUCUAGAAACUUCGAGAGUGACACUUCAUCAGAGAGACCUUCAACCUCAAUUGUAGAAAAUAGAGUUGUCCCUGAUUGUGAGCUGCAUCCAGAAAUGAAUUUUGAAUUGUCAGAUACUGCUACGCUUGAGCAACGCCUGGCUUACAAGAUUGAACUCCAAAAAGGUGGCUCAUUAUUUAACAGGAAUCCUUCCAAAGGCAUCGAGUUUCUUAUAGAUACAUGCAGAUGAGAGUUUUAUUGCCUGAUAGACCAGGCUUUCCUUCAGCCAAGUUAAAUAGUUUCAUGACUAUUUCAUUCUUGAGAUAUUCCAAUGGAAGCACAAAGUGUUUCUGAUCUAUACUGUAUACAACAAAAUCGCCCUGCUCAACUGUUGUUGACGUGUUGCAACUGUUUGCGCCAGUAUCUGAGGUGGCACUUGAUGGUUAAUAGGAAAGAACUCCGAGAUGAAAGGAAAAAGAGGGAAGAUUUAGGCUUGAAACUCUUCUGGAUAUAAAGCAAUGGAAAUUUGAUGAAUAUAUAACUAGAAGGUGAGAGACAGUCCCUUUAAUGAAUAGUACAAUGCCGGUAUUCAUUGGAAACAAAGACGUGGUAGGUAGAUAUCUAUAGUCUGCAAGGUGACCAUGUUUGCUUUUAUUGGAUGAUUAACCCCCAGCAAAGUUGAUCAUAUAUAGAAGUUCAUAUAUACAUCUUUAUGUAAUUUCCAAGUGGUUUAACAACAAUAAGGUCCAGUAAUGAAAGUGGUCAGAUGAUCCACAUGUUCUGGAUUGAUGAGUUUUUAUAAUUUCUGAAACAAAUUUUGCCCCUAAAAGAUUGUUUAUCUCUAGGCUGUUAUGCUUUUAAAUUGUCUUUUGUCUAAAUUUACUUCGCAUUUAUCUGUCUGUUAAUUGCUUUAAGAGAUUAUGGGGUCAAAUAUAUGCUUAAAUCUAUUUGAGCUGCCUUUACCUGAUAACUAUUAUAACUAGAUAGACAUAAAAAAUAUAUGGUAAAAAGAACUCUUCAAUUCCUCUCAAUUUCGAAUUGAGCAAAUUGGUCCUUCUAAGAAAAUCAAAGUAAUUUAUUUCCUAUCAAUUUCGAAGGUUAGAAAUUAAGAAUAAUUAAUCAUAGAGUUAAUGUUUUCAUGGAUUAUACAUGAUUUUGAUUGGUUUAAUAACAAAUUUAGCCCUUAUUGUUUAUACAUUUUAUCAAUUGAGUCAUAAUUUAAUAAAUUUAUCUUGUAACAUUUGUGUAAAUUUUGAGGUUGAAUUUAUUGAAUUUUCCUGAUAUUGGCUAUGAACUGAGCUUGCAUGCUUUCUCACAACCAUCUUCUUCUAAGCCAGGUAAAUUCCUUGAAGAUUUAGUUGAGCCUUUUGUUAAUACAGCUCAAUGUUUGCAGGCAAACAUGGAGAACCACUUUCAGAACAUAGUAAUUCAAAUCAAUCAACGUACGGCAAUCAACGUACGAUUUUAGUGUAGCAGAUUAGAAACUCAAGAAUUUACCAAGAGGUGGUCGCUCUCAAGGAAUUAACACUGAUUUUCUGAAUAAUAACACAAUAUGCAUACUUAUGUAGCUUUUUGAUGGUAUAAUGACAUGAUAGAAUAUGAUUACAAUGUUGUAACUUUUUAAUGUUGUAAAAUUUUAUAACAUAUUAAUUAUGACAUAUAAACUAAUGAUAUUUUAUAACAUAUUAAUUAUGA